CUAUACAAUAUCUCUGUUAAAAUGCUGAGAAGAUUUAUCCUAAAAGAAGGCACCAAAGCAAUGGGGUUCAUCAACUCAGGAUCCAGUAGUGUAAUACAGAAGCCUGUUACGAGAUAUAAGCAAUUGUAAUGAACAGCAUAACUAUUUGUGUGACUACACUUGGUAUAAUUCUAUUAAGCAUGGAGAUUGCAACUUUUGCAUUAAAUGCAACCACAUACAAUUGGUCAAACUAUUCAGAUGGUUGGUAUGAUGCUUUUACAAUAUUUACUACUCUGCACCAUCUUAGAGAUGACCAUUGUAAUCAUAAUCAUCCAGUGGGUUGUAAGAGCAUUUCAUCAUGAAAAACACACUGAAGAAAAGGCACUUUGCCCUCGGAAAUCUCACUGUCGGAAUCCUUGGAAAUCACACCACGCACAACUUCUAUUUCUUCAUAAUUUGCAAAGAACCAGUGUGACUCCAGUCAAGAACAAAAGAUUAAUUGUGAAUUAGCGAAGAACUCUAAUUUUUUCAAGCAGCCACAUGGAAAACGCAUUCUAAUGAAAUCCUUUCCAUUGCUCUUUUUUCUUAGUUCUUCAAUAAAGCAUGCGAUUUGAUCACAAA
This 600-nucleotide long non-coding RNA is filed under the name Homo sapiens (human). RNAcentral describes it as "non-protein coding lnc-MS4A8-17:11". Lineage: Eukaryota; Metazoa; Chordata; Mammalia; Primates; Hominidae. The record is from RNAcentral.